This 433-nucleotide ribosomal RNA is filed under the name uncultured bacterium. RNAcentral's name for it is "partial 16S ribosomal RNA". It matches the Rfam family "Bacterial small subunit ribosomal RNA", at positions 29 to 507 of the family's 1533-position model. The record is from RNAcentral.
AACGAACGCUGGCGGCAUGCCUAACACAUGCAAGUCGAACGAGACCUUCGGGUCUAGUGGCGCACGGGUGCGUAACGCGUGGGAACCUGCCCUUAGGUUCGGAAUAACUCCCCGAAAGGGGUGCUAAUACCGGAUAAUGUCUUCGGACCAAAGAUUUAUCGCCUUUGGAUGGGUCCGCGUUGGAUUAGCUAGUUGGUAGGGUAAAAGCCUACCAAGGCGACGAUCCAUAGCUGGUCUGAGAGGAUGAUCAGCCACACUGGGACUGAGACACGGCCCAGACUCCUACGGGAAGCAGCAGUGGGGAAUAUUGGACGAUGGGCGAGAGCCUAAUCCAGCAAUGCCGCGUGAGUCAUGAAGGCCUUAGGGUUGUAAAGCUCUUUUACCCGGGAUGAUAAUGACAGUACCGGGAGAAUAAGCUCCGGCUAACUCCGUA